Molecule: ribosomal RNA, 497 nt
Filed under: uncultured bacterium
Lineage: Bacteria
Description: partial 16S ribosomal RNA
Rfam family: Bacterial small subunit ribosomal RNA
Source: RNAcentral
GAUGAACGCUGGCGGCGUGCCUAAUACAUGCAAGUCGAGUGAACGGACGAGAAGCUUGCUUCUCUGAUGUUAGCGGCGGACGGGUGAGUAACACGUGGAUAACCUACCUAUAAGACUGGGAUAACUUCGGGAAACCGGAGCUAAUACCGGAUAAUAUUUUGAACCGCAUGGUUCAAAAGUGAAAGACGGUCUUGCUGUCACUUAUAGAUGGAUCCGCGCUGCAUUAGCUAGUUGGUAAGGUAACGGCUUACCAAGGCAACGAUGCAUAGCCGACCUGAGAGGGUGAUCGGCCACACUGGAACUGAGACACGGUCCAGACUCCUACGGGAGGCAGCAGUAGGGAAUCUUCCGCAAUGGGCGAAAGCCUGACGGAGCAACGCCGCGUGAGUGAUGAAGGUCUUCGGAUCGUAAAACUCUGUUAUUAGGGAAGAACAUAUGUGUAAGUAACUGUGCACAUCUUGACGGUACCUAAUCAGAAAGCCACGGCUAACUACGUA